This is an RNA transcript of Zingiber officinale, 2232 nucleotides long. It is a transcript of the gene named transcription initiation factor TFIID subunit 15b-like, with no coding region annotated. The record is from RefSeq and is a predicted model, not a curated record. The transcript has 8 exons. Lineage: Eukaryota; Viridiplantae; Streptophyta; Magnoliopsida; Zingiberales; Zingiberaceae.
UAAUAACCUCUCUCAACCUUGCGUGGCGGCGUGCCCUAAAUCCUAAUUACUAAACUCUCUCUUUAUCGUCAUUUUAUUCGUUCGAUCUUCCGCCACUCUUCUUCCUUUGCGGAAGGGAAGCAAAAAAACCCUAAUUCAUGUCAAGUUCCUACGGCUCCGGUGGACCUGAUGACACUGCGCAGCCUCCUCGCGGCGGCAGUUACGGACGAGGCCGUGGAGGCGGCGGCGGGUACGGUGGAAACCAGGGGAAUCGAGGUGGAAGCGGCGGCUACGGUGGCGGUGGCGGUGGCUAUCAAGGCGGAGAUCGUGGAAACCGGGGAGGUGGCGGUGGACCCCGAGGUGGAGGUCGUGGUGGCGGAGUUGGUCGGGAGGGAGAUUGGCGAUGCCCCAACUCCAGUUGCGGAAAUAUGAACUUCGCAAGAAGAGUGGAGUGCAACAAGUGUGGAGCUCCGUGUCCCGGUGGUGGGCGUGGUGGUGGUUCUGGUGACAGCAACAGAGGAGGUGAUGGUGGCGGUGGUUUCAAUAGAGGUGGUGGUGGUGAUUAUAAUGAUGGUCAAGGUGGUGCCCGUGGUAGUUAUAACAACCGGGGCGGUGGAUAUUCUGGGAACCGUGGCGGUAGAAGUGAUUAUGAAGGAAGAGGUGGAGAUUUUGGGGGAAGAGGUGCUUCUUAUAAUGAUAAUAAUCGAGAGCGAGAGGAUGACAGAUAUGGUCAAGUUGCACCGCCUCCCUCAGCUGGUUAUGGCGGUCCUGGUGGUGCUGCCGGGAAUUAUACUCCUCCCAAUUGUUACGGUGCAAAUAGUGCCUAUGCUGGUGAUUCUGUUACACCUCCUAGUAAUUAUGGUGGCCCUAAUUCUUACCCUCCUCCAUACGGUGUACCCCCUCCAAAUGCAUAUGCUAAUGAAGGUUCUUUGGCUCGUGGUGGUCCACCAUCUAGCUAUGGCGGUCCACCAUCCAGACAUGGUGGUGGAUAUGGUGAUCGUGGGAACCCUGGCCGUGGUGGUGGUGCUCCACCUCGCCACGAGGGUGGUGCAUAUGGUGCUGCUCCUACUGAUGCUGGUGCUCAGAUCAAACAAUGUGAUGAAAGCUGUGGAGAAUCUUGUGAUAACUCGAGGAUCUACAUCUCAAACUUGCCUCCUGAUGUGACUACAGAUGAGCUACGUGACCUUUUCGGAGGAAUCGGUCAGGUUGGCAAGCUCAAGCAAAAGCGAGGCUACAAAGACCAGUGGCCUUGGAAUAUAAAGAUAUAUACAGAUGAAUCUGGGAAUAACAAAGGAGAUGCUGUGCUCUCAUAUGAAGAUCCUGCUGCUGCUCAUUCUGCCGGAGGCUUCUAUAAUAACUACGACAUGAGAGGGUACAAGAUUAAUGUUGCGAUGGCAGAGAAGACUGCACUCAAAGCAGCCCCUUCAUAUGGUGGUGGCAGAGGGGGUUAUGGUGGAGGAGAUCGACGUAGAGAUAAUUAUAAUGGUGGUGGUGGACCUGAGAGGCACCAGUACGGCGGCCAGCGAUCUCGACCGUAUUAGGCUGAGUUAUGUGUUCUGAGAAUCUCUACUGAGUUCUCUUUCUAGUGAUAGUCACUUUGUACUCAAAAUUGGAGCAUAAGAUGCAUGUGGAAUUAAUCUCCAAACUGCUGCUAGAUUUGAAAAUUACAGAAUUUAAACAAAUCCUCAACCUUGAACACUUCAGAAGUGAACUCCAUGCUCACGGAGCCGCGAUGGCCUGAAACAGAAUCUGUCAUUUUCAACGCUGCCCAGCUGAUGCCUUCGGCGUUUAACGGUUCCAAGUCGAGCAAGAGCGAACGAUACCAUGUGGAAGAACUGUCACUGGAGUGAUUAGUACUCCUCACCUCGUCAGCAGCUUCUUUUGCAGCAUCACCAUCAUCUGAAACACUAUUAUUAUUAUUAUUAUUAUUAUUCUUUCUGCACAUCUUUUGUGGCUUUGCAGCCUCUGUGAUUCGUAUGAAUGCAUCUAUAGUAGCUCCUGCAAAGUUCUUACUAGCUAGAUUUAGUAUUCAUCUAUGAAAUAUAGAUGUGAAGUUUAAAGAAGAUCAUGGGAAUCAAGAAGCUUGACCUUGGAUGUUCGGUUCCAUAAAUUUCCCUUUGGCCGUAUUUGCGCCAGCUAUAACCAUCUUCUAUCUUGGGGGAGACUAUGGUUCUACAUGGGUAGGGAUAAGUCCUGCAACAUGAAAUCAUACUUUUUGUAAUCACGGUUAUCGAAAUGCUCGUAGUUGUUUUA